UAUUUUAGUCUUGUUAGAGGAACCUGUUUUAUAAUCGAUAAACCACGUAUAUCUUACUUAUUUUAAAUAACUUGUAUACCGUCAUUAUUAGAUAACUUUCAAAAAAUUAGUUAUUAAAAUUAAAUAAAAUUAAAUAUAUUAGAUCAAGGUGCAGUUAAUAAAUAAGAAAAAAUGGGUUACAAUAAAAUUUAUUUAAAACGAAUUAUAUAAAUGUAAAAAUAUAUGAAGGAGGAUUUAAUUGUAAUUUUUCUUAUAAAAUAAUAAUAUGAUAAUAGCUCUAAAAUAU
RNAcentral lists this ribosomal RNA (286 nucleotides) under Aegla inermis. RNAcentral's name for it is "partial 12S small subunit ribosomal RNA". The record is from RNAcentral. Lineage: Eukaryota; Metazoa; Arthropoda; Malacostraca; Decapoda; Aeglidae.